RNAcentral lists this ribosomal RNA (258 nucleotides) under uncultured bacterium. RNAcentral's name for it is "partial 16S ribosomal RNA". It matches the Rfam family "Bacterial small subunit ribosomal RNA", at positions 15 to 266 of the family's 1533-position model. The record is from RNAcentral.
GAUCCUGGCUCAGGACGAACGCUGGCGGCGUGCCUAACACAUGCAAGUCGAGCGGAGACAGUGGGUAGCUUGCUAUGAGCUGUUUUAGCGGCGGACGGGUGAGUAACGCGUGAGCAACCUUUCCCAGACAGGGGAAUAACACACCGAAAGGUGUACUAAUACCGCAUAAGACCACGGAAUCACAUGGUUCUGGGGUAAAAGNUUUAUCGGUUUGGGGUGGGCUCGCGUCCGAUUAGGUAGUUGGUGAGGUAACGGCCC